This 253-nucleotide ribosomal RNA is filed under the name uncultured bacterium. RNAcentral's name for it is "partial 16S ribosomal RNA". It matches the Rfam family "Bacterial small subunit ribosomal RNA", at positions 524 to 776 of the family's 1533-position model. The record is from RNAcentral.
UACGUAGGGGGCUAGCGUUGUCCGGAAUCAUUGGGCGUAAAGAGCGUGUAGGCGGCCUUUUAAGUCCUGCGUGAAAUCCUGCGGCUCAACCGCAGACGGUCGUGGGAAACUGGAAGGCUAGAGUGCGGGAGAGGAGAGUGGAAUUCCCGGUGUAGCGGUGAAAUGCGCAGAUAUCGGGAAGAACACCCGUGGCGAAGGCGGCUCUCUGGAACGCAACUGACGCUGAGACGCGAAAGCGUGGGGAGCAAACAGG